AAGGUGCUGCAUGGUUGUCGUCAGCUCGUGCCGUGAGGUGUCAGGUUAAGUCCUAUAACGAGCGCAACCCCUGUCGUUAGUUGCCAGCAUGUAAAGAUGGGGACUCUAACGAGACUGCCGGUGUAAACCGCGAGGAAGGUGUGGAUGACGUCAAAUCAGCACGGCCCUUACAUCCAGGGCUACACACGUGUUACAAUGGUCGGUACAGAGGGCAGCUACCAGGCAACUGGAUGCGAAUCUCAAAAACCGGUCUCAGUUCGGAUUGGAGUCUGCAACCCGACUCCAUGAAGCUGGAUUCGCUAGUAAUCGCGCAUCAGCCAUGGCGCGGUGAAUACGUUCCCGGGCCUU
Molecule: ribosomal RNA, 348 nt
Filed under: uncultured Alkaliflexus sp.
Lineage: Bacteria; Pseudomonadati; Bacteroidota; Bacteroidia; Marinilabiliales; Marinilabiliaceae
Description: bacterial SSU rRNA
Rfam family: Bacterial small subunit ribosomal RNA
Source: RNAcentral